Molecule: ribosomal RNA, 119 nt
Filed under: Salmo salar (Atlantic salmon)
Lineage: Eukaryota; Metazoa; Chordata; Actinopteri; Salmoniformes; Salmonidae
Source: RNAcentral
GCUUACGGCCAUACCAGCCUGGGUACGCCCGAUCUCGUCUGAUCUCGGAAGCUAAGCAGGGUCGGGCCUGGUUAGUACUUGGAUGGGAGACCGCCUGGGAAUACCAGGUGCUGCAAGCA